This 429-nucleotide ribosomal RNA is filed under the name uncultured bacterium. RNAcentral describes it as "bacterial SSU rRNA". It matches the Rfam family "Bacterial small subunit ribosomal RNA", at positions 28 to 445 of the family's 1533-position model. The record is from RNAcentral.
GAUGAACGCUAGCUACAGGCUUAACACAUGCAAGUCGAGGGGCAUCAGGAAGAAAGCUUGCUUUCUUUGCUGGCGACCGGCGCACGGGUGAGUAACACGUAUCCAACCUGCCCUUUACUCGGGGAUAGCCUUUCGAAAGAAAGAUUAAUACCCGAUAGCAUAAUGAUUCCGCAUGGUUUCGUUAUUAAAGAAUUUCGGUUAUCGAUGGGGAUGCGUUCCAUUAGGCAGUUGGUGAGGUAACGGCUCACCAAACCUUCGAUGGAUAGGGGUUCUGAGAGGAAGGUCCCCCACAUUGGAACUGAGACACGGUCCAAACUCCUACGGGAGCAGCAGUGAGGAAUAUUGGUCAAUGGGGCGCAGGCCCUGAACCCAGCCAAGUAGCGUGAAGGAUGGACUGCCCUAUGGGUUGUAAACUUCUUUUUANAUGGG